RNAcentral lists this long non-coding RNA (728 nucleotides) under Felis catus (domestic cat). RNAcentral's name for it is "lncRNA (ENSFCAG00000049109.1)". The record is from RNAcentral. Lineage: Eukaryota; Metazoa; Chordata; Mammalia; Carnivora; Felidae.
UUUGCUGUUUUUUUUUUUAAUAGAAUCCUUAGGAUUUUCUACAUAAAGAAUCAUGUCUUUGCAAAUAAAGACAAUUUUACAACCUCUUUCUCAAUCUGGAUGCCUCCAAUUUUAUUCAUCUAUUAUGUAUCUUGACCUCAAGAUGCCAUUUUUAAGCUUCAAGAGACAGCUGGAGAGAUCAGACCCCCUCCACUGGGUCCCCAUCAGACACAGUGGAAAAGAGGAAACGAGAUGGCAGGGAUCUAAAGAUUUCUCUCAGGGCCCUACUGGACACAAGGCCAGGGCUCACAUGACUGAACGCUGGAAGGGUACAAAGUCCUGGAAAGUGCCCUGCUCAGAAGAACAGAUCUGGAGAGACCAGAGACAAUUGUCAAACUUAGAGUAGAGAACUAGGGCACAGAGCUGACAAGAUAAGAAUGAGCUAAGAUGGUGGGAUCGAAGGACAAAGCUGGGAAUAUGGCUUGCUUUUAUGGGCUGGAAGGAGCAAGAUAUAUGCAACUCAGCUGCUCUUAUGGAAUCCAGAUUUGGAUGGGAAGUUGGCUGCAGAAUUCUCAAGAGAUGGUAAGUGACUUUCGCAGGAUCAUGUGGCCCAUUAGCAGUCCAAAUCCAUCAACUACAUCAUAACUUAGGGAAAAGUCUCCUUGAAAUUAAUGUGAUCAUGUUAAAGAGUUCUAGCACUAAAAGGACCUAACUUUGCUAAUAAAGAAAAAUAAUUUUUGUGAACCUCA